ACGGGGGAGUAAUGCAUAGGAAUCCCCCAUGUAGUGGGGGAUAACUUGGGGAAACUCAAGCUAAUACCGCAUAAUUCCUACGGGAGAUAGGGCCUAUACUUGUAAGCUCUUGCUAUUGGAUGAGCCUAUGUCGGAUUAGUUAGUUGGUGAGGUAAUGGCUUACCAAGACUACAAUCCGUAGCUGGUUUGAGAGGAUGAUCAGCCACACUGGGACUGAGACACGGCCCAGACUCCUACGGGAGGCAGCAGUAGGGAGUAUUGGACAAUGGGCGCAAGCCUGAUCCAGCAAUGCCGCGUGUGUGAAGAAGGCCUUCGGGUUGUAAAGCACUUUCAGUUGCGAGGAAAGGUUAUGAUUUAAUAAAUUAUAACUGUGACGUUAACAACAGAAGAAGCACCGGCUAACUUCGUGCCAGCAGCCGCGGUAAUACGAGGGGUGCAAGCGUUAAUCGGAAUUACUGGGCGUAAAGCGUUCGUAGGCGGUUAUUUAAGCAAGAUGUGAAAGCCCAGGGCUCAACCUUGGAACUGCAUUUUGAACUGGGUAACUAGAGUACUGUAGAGGGUGGUGGAAUUUCCAGUGUAGCGGUGAAAUGCGUAGUACACAGGAAGGAAUACCAGUGGCGAAGGCGGCCACCUGGACUGAUACUGACGCUGAGGUGCGAAAGCGUGGGGAGCGAACAGGAUUAGAUACCCUGGUAGUCCACGCCGUAAACGAUGUCAACUAGCCGUAGGGAUCCUUGAGGUCUUUGUGGCGCAGCUAACGCAAUAAGUUGACCGCCUGGGGAGUACGGCCGCAAGGUUAAAACUCAAAUGAAUUGACGGGGGCCCGCACAAGCGGUGGAGCAUGUGGUUUAAUUCGAUGCAACGCGAAGAACCUUACCAGCCCUUGACAUCCUGCGAAUUUUCUAGAGAUAGAUUAGUGCCUUCGGGAACGCAGUGACAGGUGCUGCAUGGCUGUCGUCAGCUCGUGUCGUGAGAUGUUGGGUUAAGUCCCGUAACGAGCGCAACCCUUGCCCUUAGUUGCCAGCACGUAAUGGUGGGAACUCUAGGGGGACUGCCGGUGAUAAACCGGAGGAAGGUGAGGAUGACGUCAAGUCAUCAUGGCCCUUAUGGGCUGGGCUACACACGUGCUACAAUGGCCGGUACAGAGGGCCGCAAACCCGCGAGGGGGAGCAAAUCUCACAAAACCGGUCGUAGUCCGGAUCGGAGUCUGCAACUCGA
This 1218-nucleotide ribosomal RNA is filed under the name uncultured prokaryote. RNAcentral's name for it is "partial 16S ribosomal RNA". It matches the Rfam family "Bacterial small subunit ribosomal RNA", at positions 102 to 1315 of the family's 1533-position model. The record is from RNAcentral.